UACGGAGGGUGCAAGCGUUAUCCGGAUUCACUGGGUUUAAAGGGUGCGUAGGUGGGUCUGUAAGUCAGUGGUGAAAUCUUCGAGCUUAACUCGGAAACUGCCAUUGAUACUAUAGAUCUUGAAUUUUCUGGAGGUAAGCGGAAUAUGUCAUGUAGCGGUGAAAUGCUUAGAUAUGACAUAGAACACCAAUUGCGAAGGCAGCUUACUACGGGAACAUUGACACUGAGGCACGAAAGCGUGGGGAUCAAACAGGAUUAGAUACCCGU
This 266-nucleotide ribosomal RNA is filed under the name uncultured bacterium. RNAcentral's name for it is "partial 16S ribosomal RNA". It matches the Rfam family "Bacterial small subunit ribosomal RNA", at positions 524 to 789 of the family's 1533-position model. The record is from RNAcentral.